RNAcentral lists this ribosomal RNA (1238 nucleotides) under uncultured Acinetobacter sp. RNAcentral's name for it is "bacterial SSU rRNA". It matches the Rfam family "Bacterial small subunit ribosomal RNA", at positions 272 to 1501 of the family's 1533-position model. Lineage: Bacteria; Pseudomonadati; Pseudomonadota; Gammaproteobacteria; Moraxellales; Moraxellaceae. The record is from RNAcentral.
GGCGACGAUCUGUAGCGGGUCUGAGAGGAUGAUCCGCCACGCUGGGACUGAGACACGGCCCAGACUCCUACGGGAGGCAGCAGUGGGGAAUAUUGGACAAUGGGCGCAAGCCUGAUCCAGCCAUGCCGCGUGUGUGAAGAAGGCCUUUUGGUUGUAAAGCACUUUAAGCGAGGAGGAGGCUACUUGGAUUAAUACUCUAGGAUAGUGGACGUUACUCGCAGAAUAAGCACCGGCUAACUCUGUGCCAGCAGCCGCGGUAAUACAGAGGGUGCGAGCGUUAAUCGGAUUUACUGGGCGUAAAGCGUGCGUAGGCGGCUUUUUAAGUCGGAUGUGAAAUCCCUGAGCUUAACUUAGGAAUUGCAUUCGAUACUGGGAAGCUAGAGUAUGGGAGAGGAUGGUAGAAUUCCAGGUGUAGCGGUGAAAUGCGUAGAGAUCUGGAGGAAUACCGAUGGCGAAGGCAGCCAUCUGGCCUAAUACUGACGCUGAGGUACGAAAGCAUGGGGAGCAAACAGGAUUAGAUACCCUGGUAGUCCAUGCCGUAAACGAUGUCUACUAGCCGUUGGGGCCUUUGAGGCUUUAGUGGCGCAGCUAACGCGAUAAGUAGACCGCCUGGGGAGUACGGUCGCAAGACUAAAACUCAAAUGAAUUGACGGGGGCCCGCACAAGCGGUGGAGCAUGUGGUUUAAUUCGAUGCAACGCGAAGAACCUUACCUGGUCUUGACAUAGUAAGAACUUUCCAGAGAUGGAUUGGUGCCUUCGGGAACUUACAUACAGGUGCUGCAUGGCUGUCGUCAGCUUGUGUCGUGAGAUGUUGGGUUAAGUCCCGCAACGAGCGCAACCCUUUUCCUUAUUUGCCAGCGGGUUAAGCCGGGAACUUUAAGGAUACUGCCAGUGACAAACUGGAGGAAGGCGGGGACGACGUCAAGUCAUCAUGGCCCUUACGACCAGGGCUACACACGUGCUACAAUGGUCGGUACAAAGGGUUGCUACCUAGCGAUAGGAUGCUAAUCUCAAAAAGCCGAUCGUAGUCCGGAUUGGAGUCUGCAACUCGACUCCAUGAAGUCGGAAUCGCUAGUAAUCGCGGAUCAGAAUGCCGCGGUGAAUACGUUCCCGGGCCUUGUACACACCGCCCGUCACACCAUGGGAAUUUGUUGCACCAGAAGUAGGUAGUCUAACCGCAAGGAGGACGCUUACCACGGUGUGGCCGAUGACUGGGGUGAAGUCGUAACAAGGUAGCC